RNAcentral lists this long non-coding RNA (258 nucleotides) under Pan troglodytes (chimpanzee). Its description in RNAcentral is "long non-coding RNA NONPTRT003988". The record is from RNAcentral. Lineage: Eukaryota; Metazoa; Chordata; Mammalia; Primates; Hominidae.
GCGGGAGGUGGCGUAGAACGAACAAGGGACUUGGGCCGACGACCUUUUCGUCCCUGGAGUAUACUGCAUGAUAAACACAGGAACUCAGAUGGAUUUAGAGGUUAAAGGAGUUGCUGCCACUUCUAGGAGCCAAAUUCAGCCAUUCUUUGGAAGAAAGAAGCCUCUACAACAAAGGUGGACUUCUGAGUCAUGGACAAACCAGAAUUCUUGCCCACCAGUGAUCAGAACACAAUACCUGAAAAUUUGCCAGCACCAACA